RNAcentral lists this ribosomal RNA (68 nucleotides) under Urosaurus nigricauda. RNAcentral describes it as "partial 16S ribosomal RNA". Lineage: Eukaryota; Metazoa; Chordata; Lepidosauria; Squamata; Phrynosomatidae. The record is from RNAcentral.
GUCCUAAACAAUAAGCUAAAGACAACUGAAGCUUAAACAACAAAACCAGUCCGGAGACAACGGACUUA